GGCAAGGGUUCUCUCACUCCCUUC
Molecule: non-coding RNA, 24 nt
Filed under: Arabidopsis thaliana (thale cress)
Lineage: Eukaryota; Viridiplantae; Streptophyta; Magnoliopsida; Brassicales; Brassicaceae
Source: RNAcentral